RNAcentral lists this ribosomal RNA (241 nucleotides) under uncultured bacterium. RNAcentral describes it as "partial 16S ribosomal RNA". It matches the Rfam family "Bacterial small subunit ribosomal RNA", at positions 94 to 334 of the family's 1533-position model. The record is from RNAcentral.
AGCGGCGGACGGGUGAGUAACGCGUGGGUAACCGUGCCUCAUACAGGGGGAUAACAGUUGGAAACGGCUGCUAAUACCGCAUAAGCGCACAGUACCGCAUGGUACGGUGUGAAAAACUCCGGUGGUAUGAGAUGGACCCGCGUCUGAUUAGCUAGUUGGUGGGGUAACGGCCUACCAAGGCGACGAUCAGUAGCCGACCUGAGAGGGUGACCGGCCACAUUGGGACUGAGACACGGCCCAA